GGGCGAGUGUCGGAAUUGGUAGACGACCGCGACUCAAAAUCGCGUGAACGCAAGUUCGUGAGGGUUCGACUCCCUCCUCGCCCA
RNAcentral lists this transfer RNA (84 nucleotides) under Candidatus Kaiserbacteria bacterium RIFCSPHIGHO2_02_FULL_55_25. RNAcentral's name for it is "tRNA-Leu". It matches the Rfam family "tRNA". From Rfam's summary of the family: Transfer RNA (tRNA) molecules are approximately 80 nucleotides in length. Their secondary structure includes four short double-helical elements and three loops (D, anti-codon, and T loops). The record is from RNAcentral. RNAcentral also lists the same sequence under 1 other name. Lineage: Bacteria; Candidatus Kaiseribacteriota.